Molecule: long non-coding RNA, 465 nt
Filed under: Brassica rapa (field mustard)
Lineage: Eukaryota; Viridiplantae; Streptophyta; Magnoliopsida; Brassicales; Brassicaceae
Description: long non-coding RNA (BRAP_LNC002258)
Source: RNAcentral
AGUUUUUUCAUUUACGAGUUAAAAAAAAUAAGAAGCAAAAACCCGAAAAGGAAAGGCAAGAGAGUCGCUUCACUGCUUGAUCAGAUCAGAGAGAAGAAUAAAGAUCAAAAAACUUUCAACCGACUCCAACCUUAAAUCGCUCCACCAUUAUCUUUCUUGCUCGUUCGCUCCGUUAAACCCUAGUAAGAUCCCUCAAAAUCAUCGACUCCUUUUCGUCUGAUUAUUCUCCUUUUUUUUAAUCCGGGAAUAUCUACCAAAUAUAUUAAUAAUGUAUUUUUUUUUAAUAUUCCUUGUGUCUAGUAAUAGUAUAUAGUUGGGCCUCUUGUCAUUUCUAUUUGUUAAUUGACAAAUUUGAGGUAAAACCGUGUGAAAAUUGGAAUCUUCAGUCCUGCACGCCAACACCUGCUCUUAUAUCCUUUUGUUUCUCAGACAUUGGAGCUUUGUGAAGUUACAGAUUCUAGAAAG